AGAGUUUGAUCAUGGCUCAGGACGAACGCUGGCGGCGUGCCUAACACAUGCAAGUCGCGCGGAGGGAUACGAGGAGCAAUCUGAGGAUUCCUGAGCGGCGGACGGGUGAGUAACGCGUGGGCAACCUGCCUUGCACUGGGGGAUAACGCGGCGAAAGCCGCACUAAUACCGCAUAAGACCACAAGGGCCGCAUGGUCCGGGGGUCAAAGGAGCGAUCCGGUGGAAGAUGGGCCCGCGUCCGAUUAGGUAGUUGGUGGGGUAAAGGCCUACCAAGCCUGAGAUCGGUAGCCGACCUGAGAGGGUGAUCGGCCACACUGGAACUGAGACACGGUCCAGACUCCUACGGGAGGCAGCAGUGGGGAAUAUUGGGCAAUGGGGGAAACCCUGACCCAGCAACGCCGCGUGAGGGAAGAAGGUCCUCGGAUUGUAAACCUCUGUUCCUGGAGAAGAGAAGAAGACGGUAUCCAGGGAGGAAGCCCCGGCUAACUACGUGCCAGCAGCCGCGGUAAUACGUAGGGGGCAAGCGUUGUCCGGAAUAAUUGGGCGUAAAGGGCGCGUAGGCGGCAAGGCAAGUCAGCAGUGGAAGUCCCAUUUUCAAGGUGGGGAGGGCUGUUGAAACUGCGUUGCUUGAGUGCAGGAGAGGUUAUCGGAAUUCCCGGUGUAGCGGUGAAAUGCGUAGAGAUCGGGAGGAACACCAGUGGCGAAGGCGGGUAACUGGACUGCAACUGACGCUGAGGCGCGAAAGUGUGGGGAGCAAACAGGAUUAGAUACCCUGCUAGUCCACACUGUAAACGAUGAAUGCUAGGUGUAGGGGGUAUCGACCCCUUCUGUGCCGGAGUAAACACAAUAAGCAUUCCGCCUGGGGAGUACGGUCGCAAGAUUAAAACUCAAAUGAAUUGACGG
This 903-nucleotide ribosomal RNA is filed under the name uncultured bacterium. RNAcentral describes it as "bacterial SSU rRNA". It matches the Rfam family "Bacterial small subunit ribosomal RNA", at positions 8 to 916 of the family's 1533-position model. The record is from RNAcentral.